CAGAAAGCACCCAAGUGAUUUUACCCUAAUCUGCACUGGUGUGAAUGUGUUUCCACAUUUUAUGAUCAGUUAUGGUGAUUUUACCCGCUCUGCACUAUUGUGAAUGUGUUUUCAUAGUAUAUGAUCAGAUUAUUAGAUUAUCAGAAGUCUUUGGGACCCACUCUAGUACACACAUAGGCUUUGAGCCGUGUACUAGGGUGAUUAGCCUUUAGGGGCAGCUCUGCGUACGUAUGACCAGAUUAUCAGAUUACUAGAUUAUCAAAAUAUCAUAUUUGAAUGACUCUGCCUUGUACAUCAAGAUUACGCUGUACAUGAGUAAGGCUAUUCAUUGGGUACCUUUUUGAUGUGAUUUUUCACUAUUUUUACAGCUUGUCAGAUUUCAGAUUAUAGAAUUCAGUCUUUUCAGUUCUCAGAUUAAAGCUUUCAGCUUAUAGUAUUCAUCGGCAUCAAUAUUUCAUAGAUUUUCGCGGAUGUCAUCUUAUUUAUAUUCGUUACAUUUUACAGUUACUUAUCUAGAAUGAAUAACAAAGAAUUUUAUGAUAUAUUCAUGUUUGAUUUUAAAAGUGUUACUAGUUUUCCGAAUUUCUCAAGUUUUAGUAGUGCAAGAAUUUUUAAAAAAUAUGCAUAAAUGAGAAAAGUUUACUUAUUCACAAAUUAUCCACUCACUAAGCUCAUUUAUUUUUCACAUUUUUCUUUAUGAGACAGAAAGCAGACAAAUUGAGCAGUUUUGGAGCCUGUCGAACCACCGAAUUGAGCCACGCACCAUAGGUUGUAUGACAUCCUUUAGCAGAUUAUACAUUAUGUGUUCUUUUGGAAUACAUAUAGUUUAAAUCAAAAAAGUUCAUUAUGGGCUCAUUAGAUAUUUGGUAUCUUUAGUAUAUUUGAGGAUUGUUGUUUGUAAAGUAAGUAAAUAUUGAUUUUCUAGCAUUUUAUUUGAAUAGUUUGUAUUUUGAGGUACUGACGUAUCCUGAUUUAUAUUAUAUGUAUUGAUUUGAGGAAAAUUGGUUAUUGUUAAGGUGGUUUUAGUUCGUAUUUCAGGAAAAACUCUAUCAAAAUUCUGUUAAAAUUUUUUUUUUUAGUCAAGCAAGUCAAAGUUACCUUGAUGAUGGGUCCGACGUUUAGCGGGUAUCUACCAUCGGCGCAUGACACGUGUCGAGUCCAUUAAGGUGAUUCAGGAUUGUCGUGUCAG
Molecule: long non-coding RNA, 1189 nt
Filed under: Olea europaea subsp. europaea
Lineage: Eukaryota; Viridiplantae; Streptophyta; Magnoliopsida; Lamiales; Oleaceae
Source: RNAcentral